This 253-nucleotide ribosomal RNA is filed under the name uncultured bacterium. RNAcentral describes it as "partial 16S ribosomal RNA". It matches the Rfam family "Bacterial small subunit ribosomal RNA", at positions 524 to 776 of the family's 1533-position model. The record is from RNAcentral.
GACAGAGGAUGCAAGCGUUAUCCGGAAUGAUUGGGCGUAAAGCGUCUGUAGGUGGUUUAAAAAGUCUAUUGUUAAAAAUUGAAGCUUAACUUCAAAGAUGCAAUGGAAACUUUUAAACUUGAGUAUGGUAGGGGUAGAGGGAAUUUCCAGUGGAGCGGUGAAAUGCGUAGAUAUUGGAAAGACCACCAAUGGCGAAGGCACUCUACUGGGCCAUUACUGACACUGAGAGACGAAAGCUAGGGGAGCAAAUGGG